This 1055-nucleotide small RNA is filed under the name Homo sapiens (human). RNAcentral's name for it is "long intergenic non-protein coding RNA, regulator of reprogramming". The record is from RNAcentral. Lineage: Eukaryota; Metazoa; Chordata; Mammalia; Primates; Hominidae.
GGUGAAAUAAACAGCCAUGUUGCUCACACAAAGCCUGUUUGGUGGUCUCUUCACACGGACGCUCAUGAAAUUUGGUGAUGUGACUCGGAUAGGGGGACCUCCCUUGGGAGAUCAGUACCCUGUCCUCCUGCUCUUUGCUCCGUGAGAAAGAUCCACCUACAACCUCAGGUCCUUAGACCAACCAGCCCAAGAAACAUCUCACCAAUUUCAAAUCCAGACCCCACUGGAAAUCGGACUGUCCAACUCACCUGACAGCCACUCCCACAGCCGCUGGAACUCUGGCCCAAGGCUCUCUGACUCCUUCCCAGAUCUUCUUGGCUUAGCGGCUGAAGACUGACGCUGCCCGAUCGCCUCGGAAGCCCCCUAGACCAUCACGGACGCCGAGCUUCGGGUAACUCUCACAGUGGAAGAAACACAACUACAGAUUUCUACCUGGUGCAUGGCCAUCGCUCAUGAAGACUACAACUUCCAGCUUCCUUUGAAGAAAAAGAGGACUUGAUGGCAUUGUCGCUAAGUAAGAAAUAAUGUGUGUGACUUCAGGGUUGCCCCCUUAAAGGGAGGGGACAUUUUCCAUCCUGCUGUUCAGAGUAUGGAUGUGAUGAGAGACAUCUUGGAUGAUGCAGAGGAGGUGAACACCCCAGGACAAUGAAACCACAGGAGCCUACCCUCAGGCCCCACCAUAAAAUGUAGGGCCAGUCCUACAUUUUAUCAAUGACUUGCGUGAACACAGAAAAUGUGGAUACAACCAAAAGGUAACAAUCCAAUUAAAAAAUGGACAAAAAACUUGAAUAAACAUUUCUCAAAAGAAGAUAUACAAAUGAUCAAAAAGCAUAUGAAAAAAUGCUCAACAUCGCUAAUUGUAAGAGAAAUGCAAAUCAAAACUAUAAUGAGAUACCACCUUAUAUUGAUUAGGAAGACUGCUAUAAAAAUAGUAAACAAACAAACAAACAAAGUAAGUCUUGGGGAGGAUGCAGAGAAAUUAAAAUUUUUGUGCACUGUUAGUGGGAAUGUAAAAUGGUGCAGCUGUUACGGGAAACGGUAUGACAGUUCCUCAA